ACAGCAGUGUGCUUUGUGUGUCAACUAAACACGCAAAUCCAGCACACAUAAAAGGAUUAUGAUGCUCAGAAUCCCAAGAAAUGGAUUCCUCCCCCAAAAUGCAUUAGUGAAGUAAUUCAGAAAUAAAAGGGUGACUCUGUGCACUGGCCAGAAACAGUCAAGUGUUGCUGAGCCCUGGUGAGCACUGAUAAUAACUCGCCAGAAAACAUCGACUGCGCUGUGAAAAGAGACAUCAGAAACACACAACAUAUCCAAGAGACCUUGGAGCAAAGGAAGCAUCUGUCUUUUUAAAACCUCAUUACUGUGGAGUACAAGGGCUCCAGCUCACAAACCACAAAUUACAUCAGCAACAUGCUGCCUUCUAAAGGACAGAGAUCCAAACAGCCUACAUACACAGGUACCCCAGGCUUGGAGAUGUGCAGGAAUGUUCCAGGGAAAAGUCACUUUGCUGUUAUUCUGAGCCAUCCUCAGGCUGGGGAGUACACACUGCAGCUACUUUAUCAAGCUGAAAUGAGGCCAACUGCAGUUCAGCAGCAGCAGAGUGAGAUGCAGAGGAUCCAUCCCUGCCUCCAGUGAAGAGGUUUCACUCCAGAGGAAGCUCUGCUGCUGCUGAGCCCCAGCCUGCCCAGCCCUGGCCUUCCCAGCACACACAUUCCAUCUGCAGCAGGAGUGGGCACACGGUCCUAUUUCUGCAGAAGGAGCCAAAGCAGAGGAGAUGAAGUUCAUGCUGGUUUCAUGCCAACUUUCUUGCAGCAGUGGGAGUACAGACAACACCUGACUCAGCAGAAAGCCCUACGCUAUAAUCUAUCAAAAAAUUUUCAAAUAAAUCUGAAUUACAAGAGUGGGUUUGUAUUGAA
Molecule: long non-coding RNA, 857 nt
Organism: Pipra filicauda (Wire-tailed manakin)
Lineage: Eukaryota; Metazoa; Chordata; Aves; Passeriformes; Pipridae
Exons: 4
Source: RefSeq, a predicted model, not a curated record